AGAACGAACGCUGGCGGCAGGCCUAAUACAUGCAAGUCGAACGCACUCUUCGGAGUGAGUGGCAGACGGGUGAGUAACGCGUGGGAACCUUCCCAAUGGUACGGAAUAACUCCGGGAAACCGGUGCUAAUACCGUAUAAGCCCCUCGGGGGAAAGAUUUAUCGCCAUUGGAUGGGCCCGCGUCGGAUUAGCUAGUUGGUAAGGUAAUGGCUUACCAAGGCUACGAUCCGUAGCUGGUCUGAGAGGAUGAUCAGCCACACUGGGACUGAGACACGGCCCAGACUCCUACGGGAGGCAGCAGUAGGGAAUCUUGGACAAUGGGCGAAAGCCUGAUCCAGCCAUGCCGCGUGAGUGAAGAAGGCCUUAGGGUUGUAAAGCUUCGUUUUGGGCGGGGACGAUAAUGACGGUACCCGCAGAAUAACGCCCCGGCUAACUUCGUGCCAGCAGCCGC
Molecule: ribosomal RNA, 450 nt
Filed under: uncultured bacterium
Lineage: Bacteria
Description: SSU rRNA
Rfam family: Bacterial small subunit ribosomal RNA
Source: RNAcentral